Molecule: long non-coding RNA, 1028 nt
Organism: Mytilus californianus (California mussel)
Lineage: Eukaryota; Metazoa; Mollusca; Bivalvia; Mytilida; Mytilidae
Exons: 2
Source: RefSeq, a predicted model, not a curated record
UUUUGAUUGAAACAUCUAGGCGUAAAAGUAACUAGUUAUUCGACCAUAAUAACUUGAUUAAGGUAUGGAUACCAGUAGAACUAAAACGAUCAAAGAGUUCGAGGCGGAAACCAUGGCCAACCUAGAAAAACGGAUUCCCGAUGAUAUGAAGAAAAUAUUACGAAAUCAAAAUGAAACAAAGAAUCUGAUUAAUGAGGUUACAAAAACCAUUGAAGAAACUUUCAAAAUAGUUAGGAACAUAAGGGAAAAAAAGAUAGUGUCAAUGGAGGCCUUAUCUCAUCUUUCAAUAUCUAGACAAGACAUGUUUUUAACGUCCUUAAGUGUUAAAGUUUUCGAAACGAAUAUCAAUAUCGAUAAAACGGCUGUGGAAUUCGUACGCGAUGGAAAACCCUUCUUAGAACGCAUUGCAUUGUCUUCCCGGAAGCUAAUUGUCCGUGCAACGAAUUGGCAGAUUGCAGACAUCGUUUUUGAAGCAAUGUUGAUGUUCUUGCAAGCGGUUGGAAUUCCUAUUCCUGCUGAUCACGAAAGUAUGAGGGCGAGCAUUGAAGUUUUAAAAACUUUUGUUGAAACCAGCCAAGUCAUAGUAGAGAUGGUUCAUAACCUUGUCGUGUAUAACGAAAAUGGCGAUCGUGAGGCAUUGUUCAGAGAAAUAUGCAACAUAGUGUAUCAUCUUUUUACUGAAGGAGUCUUGAUAGAUGUUCUGAAGGCUCUCUAUAGUGGACUACAUUGGUUUGACUGGGUUAUGUUAAUAGCCAGGGUAACUGCGUUUAUCAUCACAUUAGCUGGAAGCGGCGGCUUGGCUUUGCUAGCUUCACUUCUUACUGUAAUUGUCAACACUGUGAAAUUUACAGCAAAAUUAGUAAAUAUGAACACAUUUACGUCACUUACUAAUUAGGCAAACAAGAGGGAUGUGCAUUAUCAAAACAAAAAUACAAAUUAUAAUUAGUUGUCCUAAGUAGAUUGUUAUUUUUUGUUCCUUCACACAUGUUAUAUACUACCAUUCACCAAUAAAUAAUUCGAAAAACGUG